GGGGGUGUAACGGAUUCGACGGGAUGCGUACUAUUGCAGGCUGCAUGCCGAGACUGACCGAUGGAUCUCGUAAAUAACCCAUCAUGGAUAAAAAGUAGUUGACAACAAUUACUCAUACCGACUGGCUGCGUAAAGCAAGCCGUCCGUUCUCUC
RNAcentral lists this transfer-messenger RNA (153 nucleotides) under Balneolaceae bacterium. RNAcentral's name for it is "partial transfer-messenger RNA". It matches the Rfam family "transfer-messenger RNA", at positions 1 to 152 of the family's 374-position model. From Rfam's summary of the family: Bacterial tmRNA, also known as 10Sa RNA or SsrA, is named for its dual tRNA and mRNA-like properties. Its role is to liberate the mRNA from a stalled ribosome. To accomplish this part of the tmRNA is used as a reading frame that ends in a translation stop signal. The record is from RNAcentral. Lineage: Bacteria; Pseudomonadati; Balneolota; Balneolia; Balneolales; Balneolaceae.